Molecule: transfer RNA, 73 nt
Organism: Lactobacillus delbrueckii subsp. bulgaricus
Lineage: Bacteria; Bacillati; Bacillota; Bacilli; Lactobacillales; Lactobacillaceae
Rfam family: tRNA
About the family: Transfer RNA (tRNA) molecules are approximately 80 nucleotides in length. Their secondary structure includes four short double-helical elements and three loops (D, anti-codon, and T loops). Further hydrogen bonds mediate the characteristic L-shaped molecular structure. tRNAs have two regions of fundamental functional importance: the anti-codon, which is responsible for specific mRNA codon recognition, and the 3' end, to which the tRNAs corresponding amino acid is attached (by aminoacyl-tRNA synthetases). tRNAs cope with the degeneracy of the genetic code in two manners: having more than one tRNA (with a specific anti-codon) for a particular amino acid; and 'wobble' base-pairing, i.e. permitting non-standard base-pairing at the 3rd anti-codon position.
Source: Rfam
GGGGGCAUAGCUCAGCUGGGAGAGCACCUGCUUUGCAAGCAGGAGGUCAUCGGUUCGAUCCCGUUUGCCUCCA